GUCAGCUAUCAGUAACUGAUUAGCAGUGGGAAUACAGUUGUACUAGUCACUUAGUUCCAGAAGCACUAAAGGAUAAGAGUUUUAUUUUUAUUAUCGUUUAAAUGGCGCCAGCAUCAUCUGUUGUGCAAUGCAGUCUGGGAUACAGAAGUAGAGGCCCUCGCCUACAUCCUGACAAAUCCCUGACCCCAGCAUCACCCUGAUCGUCUUGAUGUAUUUCUAGUUUCCCAGCCAUCACACAACACCUUGCCUGCUAUCAUCAAUCUCUGUAUGCCACAUCAAUCAUAACCUUCUGCAACCGCUCCAUGCCAGGGUUUUGACUCCUAACCAAGCCCCAAAGUUUUAUGAGAAUACCGUCAGAUGCCUACUGCAGCUUGCUCCUGUUUGUGUAAAGGGUCUUUUCAUAUGCAAAAGAAGGGAGGGGGGUCUUAUUUCCCACUUGCAGUGGGCUUUCCAGCUACCUUUUCAACAGAACUAAACUGAGAGCUUCUAAGGACAGUACUGCACUACUGGGAGCUAGCUGAAAACGUUGGGUGAGCCAAUGACAAGGGGCAUAUAUGUGGAGCAAAUAAUCAACAGCUGCUCCUG
Bombina bombina (fire-bellied toad) is the source of this 585-nucleotide long non-coding RNA. RefSeq lists it as uncharacterized. The transcript is spliced from 3 exons. Lineage: Eukaryota; Metazoa; Chordata; Amphibia; Anura; Bombinatoridae. The record is from RefSeq and is a predicted model, not a curated record.